UACAGAGGUGGCAAGCGUUGUUCGGAAUUACUGGGCGUAAAGGGCGCGUAGGCGGUUUCGUAAGUCCUGUGUGAAAUCCCCCGGCUCAACUGGGGAACUGCACAGGAAACUGCGAGGCUUGAGUUCGGGAGAGGGAAGCGGAAUUCCGGGUGUAGCGGUGAAAUGCGUAGAUAUCCGGAGGAACACCGGUGGCGAAGGCGGCUUCCUGGACCGACACUGACGCUGAGGAGCGAAAGCGUGGGGAGCGAACAGG
This 253-nucleotide ribosomal RNA is filed under the name uncultured bacterium. RNAcentral describes it as "partial 16S ribosomal RNA". It matches the Rfam family "Bacterial small subunit ribosomal RNA", at positions 524 to 776 of the family's 1533-position model. The record is from RNAcentral.